RNAcentral lists this ribosomal RNA (484 nucleotides) under uncultured bacterium. RNAcentral's name for it is "partial 16S ribosomal RNA". It matches the Rfam family "Bacterial small subunit ribosomal RNA", at positions 29 to 507 of the family's 1533-position model. The record is from RNAcentral.
AUUGAACGCUAGCGGGAUGCUUUACACAUGCAAGUCGAACGGCAGCGCGGACUUCGGUCUGGCGGCGAGUGGCGAACGGGUGAGUAAUGUAUCGGAACGUGCCCAGUAGCGGGGGAUAACUACGCGAAAGCGUAGCUAAUACCGCAUACGCCCUACGGGGGAAAGCAGGGGAUCGUAAGACCUUGCACUAUUGGAGCGGCCGAUAUCGGAUUAGCUAGUUGGUGAGGUAACGGCUCACCAAGGCGACGAUCCGUAGCUGGUUUGAGAGGACGACCAGCCACACUGGGACUGAGACACGGCCCAGACUCCUACGGGAGGCAGCAGUGGGGAAUUUUGGACAAUGGGGGCAACCCUGAUCCAGCCAGCCCGCGUGGGCGAUGAAGGCCUUCGGGUGUUAAAGCACUUUUGGCAGGAAAGAAACGUCGCGGGCUAAUACCCCGUGGAACUGACGGUACCUGCAGAAUAAGCACCGGCUAACUACGUG